GACGAACGCUGGCGGCGUGCUUAACACAUGCAAGUCGAACGGACAGGCCCUGCUCUUGUGCGGUGCUCGAGUGGCGAACGGGUGUGUAACACGUGUGUAAACUGCACUUGUCUUUCGGGUAACUUCUGGAAACUCGGGCUAAUACAGGAUAUGAGCUCCUGCAGCACGGUGGGGGUUGGAAAGUUUCGGCUGUUGUGGAUGGAUUCGCGGCUUAUCGGCUUGUUUGUGGGGUUGUGGCUUACAAAGGGUUCGACGGGUAGCCCGCCUGAGCGGGUGGCCAGCCACCUUGGGCCUACGGGACGGACCAGACGCCUACGGGAGGCAACAGUGGGAAAUAUUGCAGAAUGGGCGGAAGCCAGAUGCAGCAACCCCGGGUGCGUAAUGACCGCCUUCGAGGUAUAAACCGCUUUCGCCGGUAACGAAGCGUGAGUGACGGUAAUUGGUAAGGAAGCACCGGCUAACUACGUG
This 468-nucleotide ribosomal RNA is filed under the name uncultured bacterium. Its description in RNAcentral is "partial 16S ribosomal RNA". It matches the Rfam family "Bacterial small subunit ribosomal RNA", at positions 28 to 507 of the family's 1533-position model. The record is from RNAcentral.